RNAcentral lists this long non-coding RNA (1621 nucleotides) under Calidris pugnax (ruff). Its description in RNAcentral is "lncRNA (ENSCPUG00000009694.1)". The record is from RNAcentral. Lineage: Eukaryota; Metazoa; Chordata; Aves; Charadriiformes; Scolopacidae.
AUAUAUAAGCGUCUGGGGCACAUGCCUCCUUGGGGUGUCCAUCUCAAGACCCAGUGGCCCGCUCGCUCUCCUGCCCGAGGAGGACCAUGCCUGGGCCCCACAGCUACCGGGGUUCCCCCUGAACCCCCCCAUCUUCCAGGUCCAUCCCUCCCAACAGGACACCCCAGCGAAACCCCAGCGAACCACCACCCCCACCGGGGAAACUUCCCUCCUCCUCGAUGGAGGGAUGAGCCAAGAGGUUGGUUCCUCCUUCCUUGGAUUACUUGGAGCUUCAUCCCGCGCUGGAAGGGAAAAGCUGGAGCCUGGGAAUGGUCAGCUGUUUGGGGAGCAGACGGAAGGAGUUCGGCUCUGACACCUGACGGCUCCCGAGCUGGGUCCUGCCGCGGCCGCGUGGAAGAGCCCGGGGGUCUCCGGGCGCAGUGGGGAGGGGAGAGGAGAUCUAUUUAUUUCAUAUAUUUAUUUAUUUAUAUGCAUCCUGCCACCUUCCUCCCCCUCUUCAUCGUGAAAGCUGCCGCCCGCCCAAGGAAUCCUCCGGGGAAAAAGGAGAAUUUUGGAAUUCCCUCGCAGGGACCGUGUGUGAUGAGGAGGAAGAGGAGGAGAACAACCAGGGGCUUGCUGUGAGCUGGAAACCUUCCUUCUAAGAGUAGAAUAUUUGAGCUUCGGCCUCGUGCCCGGGUCCGUCUGUUCCUCCUGCCGUCCCACCCCCCCCAAGUUCUUCCAGGAUGAUGCUCAACUCGGACCAGACGGAGAUCGACCUGCCCCCGACGCACUCCGAAUCCGAAUCCGUCUUCAGCGACUGCGGCGGCGGCCGAGGGGGCACCGGGGAGGACACCGGUGGCCUCGGUUUGUGCCCCCAAUCCCGGGUGGCCGAAGCGGGUGAAGCUGUGAAGAAAGAUCUGCAGCACCUGAGCCGGGAGGAACGGCGGCGCCGGCGCCGGGCCACGGCCAAAUACCGGACAGCCCACGCCACGCGGGAGAGGAUCCGCGUGGAGGCCUUCAACAUGGCCUUCGCCGAGCUGAGGAAGCUGCUGCCCACCCUGCCCCCGGACAAGAAGCUCUCCAAGAUCGAGAUCUUGCGCCUGGCCAUCUGCUACAUCUCCUACCUGAACCACGUGCUGGACGUCUGAGCUGCCUAGCUGAUGUCCAUAUGUCCAUCUCUCAGCCGUCAUCUCCUACCCAAACCAUGUGUUGGAUGUCUGAGCUUCCUGGCCGGCAUCUGACUCUCCGUCUGUCCAUCUCUUGGAUGUCAUCUCCUACCUGAACCAUGUUCUGGACAUCUGAGGCGCCCAGCCAGCGUCUGUCUGUCCAUUUCGCAGUCGUCAUCUCCUACCCAAACCAUGUGUUGGAUGUCUGAGCUUCCUGGCCAGCAUCUGACUGUCCGUCUGUCCGUCUCUCGGCCGUCAUCUCCUACCUGAACCAUGUUCUGGACGUCCGAGCCACCCAGCCAGCAUCUGUCUGUCCAUCUCUCAGCUGUCAUCUCCUACCCAAACCAUGUGUUGGAUGUCUGAGCUUCCUGGCCAGCAUCUGACUCUCCGUCUGUCCAUCUCUCGGCCAUCAUCUCCUACCUGAACCACGUUCUGGACGUCUGAGCCGCCCGGCCAAGCGUCCGUCUGUCCAUCUC